RNAcentral lists this ribosomal RNA (454 nucleotides) under Gigaspora gigantea. Its description in RNAcentral is "SSU rRNA". It matches the Rfam family "Eukaryotic small subunit ribosomal RNA", at positions 625 to 1084 of the family's 1831-position model. The record is from RNAcentral. Lineage: Eukaryota; Fungi; Glomeromycota; Glomeromycetes; Diversisporales; Gigasporaceae.
AGCUCGUAGUUGAAUUUCGGGAUUUUACCGUUGGUCGGGCUAUUGUCUGUACUGGCGUGUAGAAUUUCUACCUUCUGGGGAACUAUCAUGUUAUUUGUUUAGCGUGGUGGGAAACCAGGACCUUUACCUUGAAAAAAUUAGAGUGUUCAAAGCAGGCUUAUGUCUGAAUACAUUAGCAUGGAAUAAUAAAAUAGGACGGUGGUCCUGUUUUGUUGGUUUCUGAAUCACCGUAAUGAUUAAUAGGGAUAGUUGGGGGCAUUAGUAUUCAAUUGUCAGAGGUGAAAUUCUUGGAUUUAUUGAAGACUAACUUCUGCGAAAGCAUUUGCCAAGGAUGUUUUCAUUAAUCAAGAACGAAAGUUAGGGGAUCGAAGACGAUCAGAUACCGUCGUAGUCUUAACCAUAAACUAUGCCGACUAGGGAUCGGACGAUGUUAAUUUUUCUUGACUCGUUCGGC